This 352-nucleotide long non-coding RNA is filed under the name Elaeis guineensis (African oil palm). Its description in RNAcentral is "long non-coding RNA (EGUI_LNC031056)". Lineage: Eukaryota; Viridiplantae; Streptophyta; Magnoliopsida; Arecales; Arecaceae. The record is from RNAcentral.
GGGUCUGAUCACGAGCAGCUGAAGGUGGGGUGAGAGAUGAUGGUGCUGGAGGUACAGAAGUAGAAGGCUCUCCAGUCUACUCUGCUCUAUCCUCACUCCUUUUAUGACCAGAUACUUUUCUAAUCCACCUACCUCUGACUACAUGAUACUUCAUCCUAUUCAGAGACCUAUCAUCAUAAAUGUCAAAGUGUGAUAGCUUCUUAUAGGUCUCAUUCUCUAAAGGGACUCCUACUUUCAUAAAUAUUUUCGUGAGGGGCAUACCAUAAGGUAAACAUAUAUUCUUCUUUGAUACCACCUCCCUCAUCUGGUGUAACAUGAUCCCGAGAAGGUUCAAAAGAAUGCCUCUGACAAU